UUCUCUCUCCUCCCUCUUUUCUUCCUCCCUCUCGUUGGCUCCCUCUCUCUCCGGAUUUCCUCUUGCUGCUGGACAGAACCGAGCAGACCAGAGGAGCCGAAGAAGCCGCCGGACCUCACGCCUUCGCCCGUCUGCUCGUCGCCGCCGCCUCGCGCCGCCCGCGCCCGCUUGCCGGUCAGCUCGUCUCCCCGCUCCGCCUCAGCCCGCGUCCCCAGCAGAUCUGAGAACCCCGAACCAGCAAGCCGAAGACCAGUUGAAGCCAGCAGCUCCACUCGUCGCCGGAGCUCACCGCCGCCGCCGUCGUCCGUGCGCGAAGCUCGCGCGCCCGCGUGUCGCCUCGCUGGACAGCCGUCGCGCGCUGCUCCGCCCUGCUCGCCCGGUCCCGAGCUCCUUCCCCUCCGUCCAGCCGUCGUCGCCGUCGCUAGGGCCGCCGGGAGUCCCGCCGGAGCUGUCGCCUUGCCCGCCCGAGCUGCCGAUGUCCUUCCUCCGCCGUUCCUCCGCCCGAAUCGCCGCCGGACAGCCCUCCUCCGCCGUGAUCAGCAGCUGGAAAAAUGGGUAUUCCAGCCCGCGUUUGGCCCGUUUUGGCCGCCUUCCUGAGCCCGGAUGCUCGGCCCGCUUUGAGGAAAGUCGAUCCUUGCGUCGUCCUCGUUGUUUUGGUCCGCUCGGCUUGCUAAUCCGGUGAGUUUAACUCACUAAAUCUUGAUUAGAGGGUUAAUGAUGCCCUAAGUGUGCUUAGUCUAAGUUAAGUAAGUUUAGGUGGUUAGAUUAGUUUAUUUGGUUGAUGAUUAGAUUAUGGUGUUUAAUUAAGUUAAAGUGUGUUUAGUUUAAGGUUAAGUAUGUUUAUUUUUAAUAUAAAGCCUUGAUGUGACAUAAUAGGGUUUUAAUUUUGAAUUAUUUAAUUGCUUCGAAAUUCUGGAAAUUUAUAAUAUUAUAUUAAUUCCGAAAUUAUUAAAAUAUUAUUAUAAAUAAAAAAAACGGAAAAAUUAUUUUUGACCCCGGUUACUCAGAAUUUCGUACCGAUCGCUGCUGUGUAGUUGGAUUUUGAAAUUGAUGAUUGGAUAUUAUAAAUUGAGUGUGGAUCGUGAAAAAUAUGAAUAUUAUUAUUUAAUUAUUUUCGGAAUAAAUUUAAUUAUUUAAUAAAUUCUGAAAAUUUUGUUAGGACCCUAAACUCUCAGAAUUUCGUGCCGAUUGCUGCUGUGCAUUUAGAAAUUGAUAUUGAUGAUUGGUUGUGGCAAAUUGAGUGUGAUUGCGAUAUAUAGGGACUCUUUAUAAAAUCCUAAGUAUGGAAAUGAAUGGACGAUUGGCCGUGAUAUGCCACCUAUUAGAGGUCGCACCCAGUGGGGCCGUGAUAUGCCACCUAUUAGAGGUCGCGCCCAAUGGGGCCGUGAAUUGCCACCUGAUAAAGGUCGCGCCGAGUGGGGCCGUGAUGCCACUGAUUCUAAUUUUGCCGAAUAGGGCCGUAAUUGAGAGCAAUGAUUGAUUUGCUAGAAUGACAUGUAAUCGACUAAGUCGAUUGAUCGCUGAGACGAUCCAAGGGGUUUAAUUGUUUUGAUAAUGUGAUUGUGCCAUGGUUGUUUGGUUAUCAUAAUUGUACAUGGUUGAAUUAUAUAUAAAUUGUGUUAACCUGCAGAUGAAGGCUGAGGCGAGGUAAGUCUUCUGUGUGAUGUGGCUAGGCCACCCAAGGCGUAUUUUCUUUUUAAUGGGGUUUAGGGGGUUGAACUUGCUGAGACAUCGUCUCAUCCUGGUUGUGGGAUUAAAAUUUCAGGUCCCCGGUGAACGGAGUGACCAGAUAGCUUUGGUUGGCCUUGAGGAGUUGCAGAUGUGAAGUCGUAAGAUUGGAGAACGUGUUCGACUUGUAGGUCGUAGGACAGUUCAUUUUUAAGAGCCGGUCUUUUGUAGACUGUUGGUCGUAGACCCUUGUUUGUAAUU
RNAcentral lists this long non-coding RNA (1929 nucleotides) under Eucalyptus grandis. RNAcentral describes it as "long non-coding RNA (EGRA_LNC002125)". Lineage: Eukaryota; Viridiplantae; Streptophyta; Magnoliopsida; Myrtales; Myrtaceae. The record is from RNAcentral.